This 497-nucleotide ribosomal RNA is filed under the name uncultured bacterium. RNAcentral describes it as "partial 16S ribosomal RNA". It matches the Rfam family "Bacterial small subunit ribosomal RNA", at positions 28 to 507 of the family's 1533-position model. The record is from RNAcentral.
GAUGAACGCUGGCGGCGUGCCUAAUACAUGCAAGUCGAGCGAACAGACGAGGAGCUUGCUCCUCUGACGUUAGCGGCGGACGGGUGAGUAACACGUGGAUAACCUACCUAUAAGACUGGGAUAACUUCGGGAAACCGGCGCUAAUACCGGAUAAUAUAUUGCACCGCAUGGUUCAAUAGUGAAAGACGGUUUUGCUGGAACUUAUAGAUGGAUCCCGGCCGCAUUAGCUAGUUGGUAAGGUAACGGCUUACCAAGGCAACGAUGCGUAGCCGACCGGAUAGGCGGAUAGGCCACACUGGAACUGAGACACGGUCCAGACUCCUACGGGAGGCAGCAGUAGGGAAUCUUCCGCAGAGGGCGGAAGCCUGACGGAGCAACGCCGCGUGAGUGAUGAAGGUCUUCGGAUCGUAAAACUCUGUUAUUAGGGAAGAACAAAUGUGUAAGUAACUAUGCACGUCUUGACGGUACCUAAUCAGAAAGCCACGGCUAACUACGUG